This 406-nucleotide ribosomal RNA is filed under the name uncultured bacterium. Its description in RNAcentral is "partial 16S ribosomal RNA". It matches the Rfam family "Bacterial small subunit ribosomal RNA", at positions 30 to 526 of the family's 1533-position model. The record is from RNAcentral.
AUUGAACGCUGGCGGCAGGCCUAACACAUGCACGUCGAACGAGUGGCGGACUGGUGAGUAAUGUCUGGGAAACUGCCUGCUGGAGGGGGAUAACUACUGGAAACGGUAGAUAAUACCGCAUACCAGCAGCUGUACCCAGAUGGGAUGAGAUUGUUGGUGGGGUAAAGGCUCACCAAGACGAAGAUCCCUAGCUGGCCUGUGAGGAUGACCAUCCAAACUGGAAAUGAGAAACGGUCCAGAGUCCGACGUGAGGAAGGAGUGGGAAAUAUUGCAAACUGGGCGCAAGCCUGAUGCAGCCAUGCCGCGUAUAUGAAGAAGGCCUUCGGGUUGUAAAGCACUUUCAGCGGGUAGGCGUUACACGCAGAAGAAGAACCGGCUAACUCCGUGCGAGCCGCGGCGGUGAUAC